GACGAACGCUGGCGGCGUGCUUAACACAUGCAAGUCGAACGGAAAGGCCCUGCUUUUGUGGGGUGCUCGAGUGGCGAACGGGUGAGUAACACGUGAGUAACCUGCCCUUGACUUUGGGAUAACUUCAGGAAACUGGGGCUAAUACCGGAUAGGAGCUCCUGCUGCAUGGUGGGGGUUGGAAAGUUUCGGCGGUUGGGGAUGGACUCGCGGCUUAUCAGCUUGUUGGUGGGGUAGUGGCUUACCAAGGCUUUGACGGGUAGCCGGCCUGAGAGGGUGACCGGCCACAUUGGGACUGAGAUACGGCCCAGACUCCUACGGGAGGCAGCAGUGGGGAAUAUUGCACAAUGGGCGGAAGCCUGAUGCAGCAACGCCGCGUGCGGGAUGACGGCCUUCGGGUUGUAAACCGCUUUCGCCUGUGACGAAGCGUGAGUGACGGUAAUGGGUAAAGAAGCACCGGCUAACUACGUGCCAGCAGCCGCGGUGAUACGUAGGGUGCGAGCGUUGUCCGGAUUUAUUGGGCGUAAAGGGCUCGUAGGUGGUUGAUCGCGUCGGAAGUGUAAUCUUGGGGCUUAACCCUGAGCGUGCUUUCGAUACGGGUUGACUUGAGGAAGGUAGGGGAGAAUGGAAUUCCUGGUGGAGCGGUGGAAUGCGCAGAUAUCAGGAGGAACACCAGUGGCGAAGGCGGUUCUCUGGGCCUUUCCUGACGCUGAGGAGCGAAAGCGUGGGAGCGAACAGGCUUAGAUACCCUGGUAGUCCACGCUGUAAACGGUGGGUACUAGGCGUGGGGUCCAUUCCACGGGUUCCGUGCCGUAGCUAACGCUUUAAGUACCCCGCCUGGGGAGUACGGCCGCAAGGCUAAAACUCAAAGGAAUUGACGGGGCCCCGCACAAGCGGCGGAGCAUGCGGAUUAAUUCGAUGCAACGCGUAGAACCUUACCUGGGUUUGACAUGGAUCGGGAGCGCUCAGAGAUGGGUGUGCCUCUUUUGGGGUCGGUUCACAGGUGGUGCAUGGCUGUCGUCAGCUCGUGUCGUGAGAUGUUGGGUUAAGUCCCGCAACGAGCGCAACCCUUGUUCACUGUUGCCAGCACGUUAUGGUGGGGACUCAGUGGAGACCGCCGGGGUCAACUCGGAGGAAGGUGGGGAUGACGUCAAGUCAUCAUGCCCCUUAUGUCCAGGGCUUCACGCAUGCUACAAUGGCUGGUACAGAGAGUGGCGAGCCUGUGAGGGUGAGCGAAUCUCGGAAAGCCGGUCUCAGUUCGGAUUGGGGUCUGCAACUCGACCUCAUGAAGUCGGAGUCGCUAGUAAUCGCAGAUCAGCAACGCUGCGGUGAAUACGUUCCCGGGGCU
Molecule: ribosomal RNA, 1345 nt
Filed under: uncultured bacterium
Lineage: Bacteria
Description: bacterial SSU rRNA
Rfam family: Bacterial small subunit ribosomal RNA
Source: RNAcentral